Molecule: long non-coding RNA, 380 nt
Organism: Vicia villosa (hairy vetch)
Lineage: Eukaryota; Viridiplantae; Streptophyta; Magnoliopsida; Fabales; Fabaceae
Exons: 3
Source: RefSeq, a predicted model, not a curated record
UGAAUAUUGCAAAUGUUUAUGGGGAUGCUCCUAUUAGUCAACAUGUUUGUUUUAUGUAUUGUUUUUUGUUUUAUUUUGUUGGUUUAUGAGUUUUUAUAGUGUUGAUUUAAUUCAUUGUUUAUGACUGUAGCCAUCUUCGGGUUUUCGAGAGGGGUGUUGAUAUUCUGGUUGCAACUUCGGAAUGUUUGGUGAAUAUGAUUGAGGGAGGAAAGAGGUAUCGCAAUCGCGGCGACGGUGGUGGCGGGGAUGGUUUUGCGAGAGGUUAAGUUUGGGCUAUGUGGAUGUCGAAAGUUGAUUAUGCGUUUGCUGAUUCCUGUUCGCUUGAUAUCUCCUCUGGCACCACUGCUUCAACUGCUCUUGUAUUUGGGAGGAUACUAAAC